UACAUUAAGGGAAGAUCUUGCAUGUUGCCA
This 30-nucleotide non-coding RNA is filed under the name Homo sapiens (human). The record is from RNAcentral. Lineage: Eukaryota; Metazoa; Chordata; Mammalia; Primates; Hominidae.